This 614-nucleotide long non-coding RNA is filed under the name Monodelphis domestica (gray short-tailed opossum). RNAcentral describes it as "lncRNA (ENSMODG00000034431.2)". Lineage: Eukaryota; Metazoa; Chordata; Mammalia; Didelphimorphia; Didelphidae. The record is from RNAcentral.
AACAGUUUUUCAACUGUGAGUCUGAAGCUGGAGGUCAAGACUGAAGGUGUGACUCUGGGACUCUCCCUGGACAAACCCAUCUUUCAAGCUGCCUGCCUUAGAAUAACAUCAAGACAAGGUUGGGAAGAAAUUCUCCAUUCAUUCUGGUGGACAGAGUGAUUUUGGAAAAGAAUUUCUCAUUCCAAGAGUUUCUACGGACUCUUCAACUGGAUUUCUGCUGCUUGACCCACCAAGGACUCUGUGAAUAUUGUUCAGGAGUGUUGGACUUCCCUUCCCUACCUGAAAAGCUAUCAGAAGCAGCUUCAGAUAAUUUGACUAAUAUCCAUUCACUUGUGCUCAAAGGAAUUUGGAAGAGUUCAAAUGAGAGCAGAUUAUUUAGGAAGAAUGAUCUGUACAGUUUAACAAAUCCAGAUCCUGUUAACACUCCAUACAGGAUUUAAGAAUUCACCGGCUUGUGAUGAAUACCAAGAAACAUUGAAAAAGUCAUAUGAACUGAUUUAGAAUUAAGUAAGCAGAGUCAAGAAAACAAUAUAAUCAGAGACUACAAUGUAAACAGAAGGAAUUAUUACAAGCCAAAAAAGCAAAAAUAAAUGUAGCAAAAUUAUAGAGCUCCA